UUGUAACUUUUUGCUACUAAACCCAACUUUAAUUAGUGUUUAUGUAAUGUUUUAAAAUAUUUAUAAAAUAUAGUACAACUUUAGUAAUUUUUCAUCGGCAGGAAAUUAUCUAUUAAUAUAAGUCUAUUAGUGUCUAUUAGGAUAUUAUAUUUUCAAAUCUCGUCUUUUAUUUAGUUAUUUUGAUUAGUUGGAAUUAUCUAUUAAUUGAUUUUUUUUAUCUAAUUUUAAAUUUUAACCAAAGUAAUCAAUUCCGAUCACCAUCCCACUGUAAUGUUAUUAUUUUAAAAAUUAAACUUCAUUUUAUUUAUUGAUUAAAAUCUUCAAGUACAUAGCCUUCAAAGAAGAUUGGAUAUAACCAAAAUAAUGCUGCAUAUAUCAUUUAGAGUCUUGCCAUUCUUCAAAAGCAACGAUGUAUCCUUAGGCGGCUGUGCGAACUUAUCCUGACAGUCACCAAUAUUAGUCAUGGCACCAGAAGUUACAAUAUUGACACCAGUAAAGUCCCCAAGUGCCAAGUCCUUUUGGGCAUUUUCUAUGUCACCAAUAGCUUCAUCAUAGCUCUCAGCACAAGACGAAUAUCGUUGCUUAAGUUGAGGAUUGGUGGCGGUUUUUGCUAGUGAGUUGGCUAGAGUCAAAGAUUUUUCAGCAUUUGUACGAGCAAGGUUUAAGGUGUAUACAGCCAAGCCUUUUAGAUUUGUAGUGCCUGCAGAUUUCAACACACUUGAACAAAAUUGUGGAUUUGAGGUUUUUGGACAGAUGGUGGAAACGACGUCAUUAGAUGAUGCCACAUUUGAAAUGAUAGUGAACGAAAGAACUCCAACGAGAGAGAUAAUAAUGAGACAAGAGUUAUUGGCCAUUUUAAUUUUUCUUUGUUGUUUCCCGUCCUUAUUGAUAUGAUUCAUUUGAUAAGUACAUAUAUAUAUAGAUGAAAUUUAGAGAAAUUGUUUGUUUUUCUUAUGGAGGAGAAAUGGCAGUUAUGAUUACAUAACUAAAUAACCCAUUCUAGUCUUUUGUUUGAUACUUUUAUCUUGAAAUAGCCCACCCAAAUCAAUUCAUGAAUAAUCACAUUAAUUGUCUUUUUUUUUUUUUUUACAUAAUUACAACUAAGAUGGGCUUUAUUUUUAUUUUUAUUCAAAAGAUACGACUAAGAUGUUAAAUUUUGAAUUUUCUCAUCAAUCCAUUAGAGGUGACCUAUGCUCCAAUCUUUUCUUACCAACAAUUUAGGCCUUAUAAGUGUAUAGAAAAUUGAACAGUGAAUAGGAUAGUUAGGCUUUGUAAAACUUAAAAGUUACAUAGUCCAAACUCUGAUGUCUCUUCCGUUCCUGUCCUGCUUUGAUUUUACCCCAUUCUUUUCUCAAAUACAUUUUUCUACAUUGUCGUUUCUUCUUCUCUAACUCAUUUUUUCCAAUUAUAUAACAUGUCCGUAUGUACCAGAAAUACAGUGAGCGGAAUUCAUGGAAGUUUUUCCCUGUUUCAAGUUCUAAGGGGGGACACGAAACUUAUGUGACAGAAAUCAAAGGAUAACGUGUCUACAGUAAAUCGAAAUAAGAGUCUGGUUUUCAUUGAGUUCAACGUGUUCCUCAAACAGAAACACAGGGCCGUAUGCAUACUUUCUACGACUACAAUAGUCAUCAUGCUAGAGUUAUGAGAUUAAAGUGAGGGAAUGACAAGAGAAGAUCAUGAACCAACGAAAAUUACAGAUGUGUUGAAAUUUGUUGUCAGAAUCUGUUUGAAUGAUGAACUUCAUGCAUACAAUUGUUGUGGUUGUCACAACUGGAAUCUAUUAAACAAAAUCAAAUACUUGAUAAUAACUACCUCUCCACACUGUUAUGUUUCUUGUUUUUUCGUUUUCAAUAAUUUGAUCGGUUUUAGACUUUUGGUUUAUUUUCAAUUAGAAGUAAAUGAAUGAAGGAAAAAGAUAACAGAAAAAGUUGAUUUUACUUUUACUAUCAUUUUCCUAUGCUUUUUAGUUUAUGGGGAUAGAUAUUUGUUGGUGUUCCUUUUCUUAAGUUAGAAGAAAAAAAGUUGGGGCAUAACUUUACAUGGACAAUCAAGUCAUUUUUUUUUCUUAA
Cucumis sativus (cucumber) is the source of this 2069-nucleotide long non-coding RNA. RefSeq lists it as uncharacterized. Lineage: Eukaryota; Viridiplantae; Streptophyta; Magnoliopsida; Cucurbitales; Cucurbitaceae. The record is from RefSeq and is a predicted model, not a curated record. The transcript has 4 exons.